GACGAACGCUGGCGGCGUGCUUAACACAUGCAAGUCGAACGGAAAGGCCCUGCUUUUGUGGGGUGCUCGAGUGGCGAACGGGUGAGUAACACGUGAGUAACCUGCCCUUGACUUUGGGAUAACUUCAGGAAACUGGGGCUAAUACCGGAUAGGAGCUCCUGCUGCAUGGUGGGGGGUGGAAAGUUUCGGCGGUUGGGGAUGGACUCGCGGCUUAUCAGCUUGUUGGUGGGGUAGUGGCUUACCAAGGCUUUGACGGGUAGCCGGCCUGAGAGGGUGACCGGCCACAUUGGGACUGAGAUACUGCCCAGACUCCUACGGGAGGCAGCGGUGGGGAAUAUUGCACAAUGGGCUGAAGCCUGAUGCAGCAACGCCGCGUGCGGGAUGACGGCCUUCGGGUUGUAAACCGCUUUCGCCUGUGACGAAGCGUGAGUGACGGUAAUGGGUAAAGAAGCACCGGCUAACUACGUG
This 468-nucleotide ribosomal RNA is filed under the name uncultured bacterium. RNAcentral's name for it is "partial 16S ribosomal RNA". It matches the Rfam family "Bacterial small subunit ribosomal RNA", at positions 28 to 507 of the family's 1533-position model. The record is from RNAcentral.